ACACAGGUGGUCGGGUAGAGAAUACCAAGGCGCUUGAGAGAACUCGGGUGAAGGAACUAGGCAAAAUGGUACCGUAACUUCGGGAGAAGGUACGCUCUCGACGGUGAAGUCCCUCGCGGAUGGAGCUGACGAGAGUCGCAGAUACCAGGUGGCUGCAACUGUUUAUUAAAAACACAGCACUGUGCAAAAUCGUAAGAUGACGUAUACGGUGUGACGCCUGCCCGGUGCC
Molecule: ribosomal RNA, 229 nt
Filed under: Vibrio parahaemolyticus
Lineage: Bacteria; Pseudomonadati; Pseudomonadota; Gammaproteobacteria; Vibrionales; Vibrionaceae
Description: partial 23S ribosomal RNA
Rfam family: Bacterial large subunit ribosomal RNA
Source: RNAcentral